Molecule: long non-coding RNA, 310 nt
Organism: Vespa mandarinia (Asian giant hornet)
Lineage: Eukaryota; Metazoa; Arthropoda; Insecta; Hymenoptera; Vespidae
Source: RefSeq, a predicted model, not a curated record
AGAAAGAGAGAGAAAGAGAGUUGAAUGGUAGAAGUGAUUUCUCUCGACAUGAAGUGCGGGUUUUUCCCCUACAAACUGUACGAAACGAACACGUUAAUUACAUCUUGCAAUCUUUUCUAACUAUGGUUAGAUGGCUUACGUAAUACACGGCGCCGUUAUUGACUCAAACCGAGAGAAUAAAAAGAAUGAAAGAAAGAAAGAAAGAAAAACUUCUACGUCCAUAUUUUUCUUCGUGGUAUCCUUCCUUAUCGAUAUACACGAUGGCGAUACUUGAUCACUAAAUAAAAACAGAAAGAGAGAGAAAGAGAAA